UAAGGAAUAUUGGUCAAUGGACGAAAGUCUGAACCAGCCAUGCCGCGUGGAGGAUGAAGGUCCUCUGGAUUGUAAACUUCUUUUAUAUGGGACGAAAAAAGGCCUUUCUAGGUCGUCUGACGGUACCAUAUGAAUAAGCACCGGCUAACUCCGUGCCAGCAGCCGCGGUAAUACGGAGGGUGCAAGCGUUAUCCGGAUUCACUGGGUUUAAAGGGUGCGUAGGUGGGUUGGUAAGUCAGUGGUGAAAUCCCCGAGCUUAACUUGGGAACUGCCAUUGAUACUAUCAGUCUUGAAUACCGUGGAGGUCAGCGGAAUAUGUCAUGUAGCGGUGAAAUGCUUAGAUAUGACAUAGAACACCAAUUGCGAAGGCAGCUGGCUACCCGAAUAUUGACACUGAGGC
This 400-nucleotide ribosomal RNA is filed under the name uncultured bacterium. RNAcentral describes it as "bacterial SSU rRNA". It matches the Rfam family "Bacterial small subunit ribosomal RNA", at positions 355 to 752 of the family's 1533-position model. The record is from RNAcentral.